GGCCUAUUAAUUUCCUAAUGUUUGCUCCAGGACCGAGCAGCCCGGCGCCUGCUGAGGUUUAUCUGCGCGGCUCAGCUGUGGAACGUGCUGCGUGCCAGCUUCUGGGUGCUUCAGAGAUUUGCCAGGCCCAGGAGGGGGCAGGAGGCGCCGGGAGCAGCUUCUGGCCCAUCCAUGACACCAGCCAGGGCCGCUUUUCAGUGCCAGUCAUGGGUGAAAUCGAGAAGACCGGGACAAUUCCUUCCCCCGGCACAGGUGGGGCCACCUCACUCCUUCCACCUCAUUUCCCCACGGUGUGACAGUCCCCGUCCACGAGCAUCAUGUCUGCUCUUGUGAGAGCUGCUGCGCUCAGGUACGUGGCUCUCUGUGCGCAUGGGUGAGUAUCUCUGCAGGGCAGGCUUCUUGGAGUGGACGUGCUGGAUCAAAGGGAGUGUUCACCUUUUUAGUCCUGAGAGGUACCUCAAAUCACCCUCCAAUGAGGUUGCUCCAGGCGCACACCUCCCCCAUGGUGCUUUGGGGGCAGGAAACAGCUUUAGGGAGAGGGCAGAGGGGCUAAGGAGCUGAGCCAGGUUCCGCUUCCCCCAGCUUCUUGCUGGGUUUGAGGGGAGCAAGCCGGUGACACCGCAUCUGCUGUCCUCGGUGACAUGGAUCCCUGGAAGCCCUCUGACCUUCGUCCCCAAGCUAGAAGACCAGGCUGGGAAGAGGCUCAGGCCCCUCGCCAGUUAGCCCUCCGGUUUCUCUGCUCCCCACCCACCCCAACACUGCAGGCCUGCAGCCCAGGGGUCCUCGGUCUGCCACAGAGACCCUGGCUGAGUUAUGGCCUCAUUCAUUCCUCUAGCGGAUUCGUCCAAGGGUAUUUAUCUUGGGCCUUUCUUUCCCUGAGGUAAACUGAGAAAAUUCACAGGCUGCUGUUCUCCAUGGCAAGGCGGGAGCUGGGGGCAUUGCCGGUCUGGAAGUAAGGCCUAGGGAGGGAGAGUCCUGGGGAGAUGGUCAGGACAUUGUGGGGUGAACCUGGGACAGGGUGGCCGAUAGGGCUUUGUGCUGCGAUGGGGACGGGCCCCGUCCACCUGCUCUGCUCCCAGGCAGGUGUCCUCGGCAGACUGUGGGCCCCUCAGAGAGCCAACUGGCAAUAAAAUAAACAGCCACCACCUGCCGAGCUCUCACAGUGUGCCAGACUCUAUAUUUACAUGUUCUCACUUCACCCUCCCUCAAAACCUGCACCCCCAAAUGAUCCCCUUUUACAGAGGAAGAAAUGGAGUCUGGCAAGGCUGACUCGCCAAGGCCAACGGGUGACAAAGGGCAGAGCUGGGAUUCUAACCCAGGCCUCCCUGGCUCUAAACCUCAGCUCUCAGUCCCUUUUCUACAAGGGAGUGAAAACCAGAAAUCUGAAUUCUGCUUCUAGGGUUAUUUAGUUUUUCCUUCCUCCCCACCCAGACCACUUCCUCAAGGCCAAAUCCAAUUGCAGAUGGGGAUGGAAGUUUCUGGAUGGUUUCUCGUGGGUCUCCUUGCUUAUCACAGCCACACAGCUGUGAGCAUCCGCUGUGGGGCCGGCCACAAUCACAGGCAGAAGCCUUGUCAGUCCAACGUAAUCCACCAAUCCAGCAGAAGCUGGGGAAGCUUCUGGAACUUGUCUCUGAGAAGCCCGCUUGAGUCUCCUCUGCACACCACACGCCAGCCCUUUUUGCUCCACCCCACAACCCCGACAUGACCCCUUUUUCUUUUCCAGGACAAGCACAGAAGCACAGAAUGCCAAUUUCCCUCUUGAGAUCUCUCCUGAAUUGGGAAGAUCUCUCGUGAGGCUGGGUCAAAGAAUCACAGACCAGAGA
RNAcentral lists this long non-coding RNA (1823 nucleotides) under Macaca mulatta (Rhesus monkey). Its description in RNAcentral is "lncRNA (ENSMMUG00000049830.1)". The record is from RNAcentral. Lineage: Eukaryota; Metazoa; Chordata; Mammalia; Primates; Cercopithecidae.